Molecule: ribosomal RNA, 401 nt
Filed under: uncultured bacterium
Lineage: Bacteria
Description: partial 16S ribosomal RNA
Rfam family: Archaeal small subunit ribosomal RNA
Source: RNAcentral
ACACCGGCAGCCCAAGUGGUGGCCAUUUUUAUUGGGCCUAAAGCGUUCGUAGCCGGCCUGAUAAGUCUCUGGUGAAAUCCCGCAGCUUAACUGUGGGAAUUGCUGGAGAUACUAUCAGGCUUGAGGUCGGGAGAGGUUAGAGGUACUCCCAGGGUAGGGGUGAAAUCCUAUAAUCCUGGGAGGACCACCUGUGGCGAAGGCGUCUAACUGGAACGAACCUGACGGUGAGUAACGAAAGCCAGGGGCGCGAACCGGAUUAGAUUCCCGUGUAGUCCUGGCCGUAAACGAUGUGGACUUGGUGUUGGGAUGGCCUCGAGCUGCGCCAGUGCCGAAGGGAAGAUGUUAAGUCCAACGCCUGGGAAGUACGGUCGCAAGACUGAAACUCAAAUGAAUUGGCGGGG